Mercenaria mercenaria is the source of this 4461-nucleotide long non-coding RNA. RefSeq lists it as uncharacterized. The transcript has 3 exons. NCBI's taxonomy places the organism in Eukaryota, Metazoa, Mollusca, Bivalvia, Venerida, Veneridae. The record is from RefSeq and is a predicted model, not a curated record.
GUGCGCACAAGAUUGUGUCUAUGUAUAUAGUAUAGUAACAAAAAAACAAAGUCCCAUAACUCUGCAAAUUUUUUUUCUAAAAGAACCUACCAUGCCCUAUGCACAACUUCUGUUGGUACUGAUCACUUGUGUGAAGUUUCAUUAAAUUCUGUCAAGGGGAUAAGGAGAGAUGGUGCGCACAAGAUUGCGUCUAUGGACAGACGGCCAGACGACAGACGGACAGACAGACAGACAACCUGAAACCAGUAUACCCCCCCUUACAACUUUGUUGUCGGGGGGUACAAUUAGCAAAAGUUUGACCGUUAAAGUACAACUGCUUGUUACAUGACUGAUAACAGCCUACUAGAGAAAGAAUAUUUAGACAUCAGACCUGUAAAAUUAAUAGUGGUAUUACGCCUGAGGCAAAAUAUUUCGUUCAAAAUCAGUUGUUUCCCCUUAGCUAUGUUUCCGGUUUCGGAUUUUACCAGAGGAAGCAUGUGAAGUUUACUUUUGUUUAACUACCUUUUGUUCAACAAUGCAGGGAUCUGAGACUUGUAAUACUGUUUACUAAUUUGGCAAGUACCGUUUAUAAACAGUUGUUAAUGUAGAUUCUCUAAUAUAUUUGAAACUUUCACGAAAUAAGUCUGCCUUUUACCCGGAAGUGAAUCCAAAACAUACUGAGGGAAAUUUAUGAAAUUUAUCUUGUGGCCACUAAGCACAGAUGAUUUCAUUAUGCCUGUGUAUUUAAUAUAAAAUGGCCAGUUGGGUUAUCACAAAUAUUAUUGAAAGCAGGCAGCUUCUUACUCAAGGUGACCAAGAUUCAUCAAAUUAUUGCAUUGUCCAUAGUAAGCAUUAGUGUGGAAAAAUACAAUAUACAUGUAGCUAUGAUAAUUAAUAAAUUUGAUCAAAGAAGUAUAAAAUUAUUUUUAUAGCUCUUUGAUUUGAUGCAGACUUAUAGAUGCCUGCCUAUGUCACAUCAUUUCGAGAAAAGUCCCCUCUCACAGUAGUAGCCGAGGUAUUUUAAAAGGAAAUAUGUAGAUGUCCGGUAACUGGAUGCCUACCCUGCAUUCUAGCUAUCCGGCAACAAGACAACUACUAGCCUCUCCGCGAAUGUUUUUCUAGCUGUUCGGCAAUCUUUUUAUAUAUGAAUACUGUAAUGAAUAAAUUUAUUGUAUCAUAUUUUUUUUUGGCACAGGUUUGAAUAUUCACCAGUAAGGCUUAUUCAGACAAUAUUUUAAAAUUCAUUACCGGACGGCGGACGCCUAGAAAACCCCUAUAGGAUAGGAUAGGCUAGCCAUCCUGUUACCGGUUGGCUAGAACACUGGCUAGGUUUCUGGUUACCGGAUGUCUACACUUCCAUUUAUAAAAUGGUAACUGUUUUUGCUGUGGGUCUCAUAAGUCAUGUUAUUUCUGUCUGGUGACUACUUUCUUUCCAUUAUUGUUGAUUCAGAAUGUUUUGUAACAGGAUGAUUGUAUAUGGAUAGUAGGAAUUUAUGCUAUAUAAUGAAAAUCUUUUUAUUUUUGAAAAUUUUGAGCCUUGCUGUGUGUAAAACAAUUUAUGAUCCUUUAGAAAAUAUAUUCAUAGUAUAAUAACUUUUAAAGUAUUUUGUGGUAAGUUAAUGAAACCUUUCACAAUCACAUUAUUAAUUUAGUAUUCAGUUUUUGAUUUUUAGUGAUGUUUACAGUACAUGUAAUGUAUCUUCUUUCAGAUAAUUUUCCUUGUUCCUUUGAUGGUUCAUUCCACUACAACUGGUUCAUAUACCCUACAACAGCAAGGAAAUUGGUCUGUUUACUUUAAGAUCUCAAGAAAGUGUAACAUAUUUUGGAUGUGCUUUGAGGAAUUAGGAAGGCAAGUGUUUCCUCUUGUUUAUGAAAGCAACUCAGUUGGUGAAGAGGCAGACAACUUGUGAGCAUGGUACAUCACCACCUGAAUUGGUAUUCCAUUUUGACAAUGCUGCUAGCUAGAAUAGAAGUAACAUCUUGCUGUGGUAUGGUCUGUGGAGAGUUUUACUAGGAUAUCACAGAUCGAUUGAAUAUUCAACCACGAUCACAGACCACGCAAAGUUUGAAUCUGACUUGCACUUCUGAAUUUAGAAGAAGGAGGAGGGUGAAUGCUGAGAUUUUUAAUAAUACAUGAUAUUGCUGACACAGUGUGUCAGUCAUCAAAGAAAGGUCAUAACAUUGCACAGUUGGUCAACAAUGAUUUAAAUCCUGUCACAUUCUACCAGUGGAGAAAUAUCUUAUCACAAUAUUUUAAACUUUUGAAGAAGAUAACCAAGUAUUACCACGUUUAUCAUGUCUGCAGAAACACCUGGAUUGUUAGUGUUAAAAGUGACAGUCCAGUUGAGACAGUUAACUUACUAAAAUAUACCCCCACCUCCCCCCUGCCAAACGAAUAUUAUUGAUAUGGAAUGACACAAGUCUGACAAUGGUACCUGUAUGAACUCAUAAGAGAAUAGUAUUCAUCUGAAAAGUCAAAGGAUUCUGUUUGUCCCAAACCACUUGAACUGAAAACUGGAAUUGUGACUGACGAGGAUUUUUCUGAGAACUGAAAUAAGGAAGUGAAUGUAAAAGAUAGAAAUUGUUGUUGAAUUCAAACGUUUUAAUACACAACACUUUAGCCUGUUUUGCUGUUAAGAUUAAACAUCAAGUAAAGGUUGUAGUUUCAGUUACCUACAUUAAAGUAUUGACUGGAAAUAAAUAUUUACUUUUCACCAGAGCUUGUAGCAGUGUAACCUUCAUCAAAAGUUAAGCUGAUGUGUUAAUUAUUAAAGUAUUUUUAGAAAAAAGAAUUUAGUAUGUAUGUUGCCAUGGUAACAUAAUUCAAAUAAUAUUUCAUUGAAAUUAUGGAUUUGUAUUUCAAUAAGGGAUCUACAGUAUAUAUUGUAAUGGUAAAAGAAAGUUCACUUUCUUCAGUAUUGUCAGUUAUAACUAGCCAGUGAAAAAACAGAUUAUGAGGAAAGGGAUGACUGAAAUGUUUAUUCUUACGAUAACUACUUUUGUUACAGAACAUGACUUUUUAAAAGUUUUUAUGUGAAAUUUUCAGAUUUCUUUCCUGAAUACUUAUACUUUCAAAUAUUUAACUUAUUAGAAAUACUUUUUUAAAAUAAGCUCUUGUUUUUAAGUAUUAUUGUAGGAAAAGGGAAUUUAAAGCAUAUGUCGCCAUGGUAACACAAUUUUCUUAGAAAAUAUGGAAAUUUUUUAAUUAGCUGUACUUUCUAGUAUUCUACUUUAAAAUAAGCAUAAACAAUAAAAAAAAUCAAUAGUAAUAUAUGUUUCAUUUAUUUCAAAAUAGUCAUGUAUUACCAGCAGGUAAAAGGCAAGUUAUGAAGAAACAAUGACAGAAGUGUCUUAUUCUUAUAGUUAUUACUCAUGUUACAAACACUGUCAUAAAACAAAACGUUUAAAUUUUUUAACAUGGAAUUUUGAGAUACUUUUGAAUACAUACCACUUUAUAAUAUUCAAGUUAUCUGAAACACUUUUUCCAAAUUUAGCUCUUUUUUAAAGUAUUAUUGUAGAAAACAGAGUCGAAUGCAUAUGUUGCCAUGGUAACAUAAUUUAAUAAUGUUUUUAUAGAAAAUGUGAAGGACUUUAGCCAGCUAGAUGUUUGCACUUUAAGUGAAUAUCUAAAUAUUCUUUGUAAAAGAAGAUUCAUUUAUUUAAAAAUAGCCAGUGAUUACCAAUAAGUGAAAACACAAACUGAAGAAAAAACGACUGAAAUAGUUUAUUCUUGUGGUUAUUAUCCAUGUUAUGAAAUCUGUCAUAAAACCAAAUAUUUUAUAUCUUUUCAUAUAAAGUUUUCAAGUUUUACUUUUGAAUACAUAUACUUCUAAAUAUUCAACUUAUAAGAAACAUUAUUUUAAAUUAAACUUUUAUUUUUAAGUACUAUUGUAGAAAAAGCAAUUUAUUGCAUAUGUUGCCAUGGUAACGCAAUUUGAAUAAUGUUUUCAUAGAAAAUAUGAAAGGUUUAAAUUAGCUGUAUUUUUCUGUUUUAAGUAAGCAUCACAAAAACAAAAUUUCAUAGUAAUAGAAGUUUUUUUUUCCAAAGUAGUCAUUUAUUAUCAGCAUGUAAACCACAAGUUAUGAAGAAACAAUGACAAAUCUAUCUUAUUCUUAUGGUUAUUACCAAUGUUACAAAAACUGUCAUAAAACCAAACAUUCCUAAUAUUUUCAUGGGAAAUUUUCAUUUAUUUUUGUAAAUACAUAUGCCUUAAAAUAUUUUACUUUUUAAAAUCCUUAUUCCAAGCGAACAUGUUUUUUUUAAAGUUUUAUCAUAGAAAAGGGAUUUUAAUAUAUUUGUUGCCAUGGUAACACAAUUUUAGAAAUAUUUUUAUAGAAAUUGUUGUAGAUUUUAAUUGAUUAUCAUUUUGUGUAUUAAGAAGGGAUCUUACUUAUAUCAUGCAAUUGUAACAAAAGAUAAAUUUAUUUCAGAAUUGUUAGGCAUUACCAGUAUGUGAGAAAUAAACUAGAAAGAAAGGAUAA